Triticum urartu is the source of this 2114-nucleotide long non-coding RNA. RefSeq lists it as uncharacterized. Lineage: Eukaryota; Viridiplantae; Streptophyta; Magnoliopsida; Poales; Poaceae. The record is from RefSeq and is a predicted model, not a curated record.
CGAUCUAUGUAUUCUAUCCUACGAUCUCUCAAAGAUGCCCCAGCCCCCAAUACGAGCCGCUGCCGAGAUCCAAGACGAGCCGCCGCCGAGAUAUGAGUCGAUCCACCGCCGCCGAGGACCGAGUGGAGCCGCCGCCGGUGCUGGCCAGGCUCCCCACGAUGUGCGCGCCGGGGGGCCGCUCCCGCUCCCGCAGCCGAGCAUAGCAGCAGCGGCGGAGCCCCGCCGCCGACGAGCUCUCUCUGGCGGAGGAGGGCGGGGGCGAGCUCGCCGUCUCCCUCGCGCUCAACAAUCUCUUCUCCCAUGCCGUCGCCCGCUUCACGGCCUACUUCGGCCUCAUGCCGCCAUGCCUGCACUGCUCCCGCAUCGACCGGCUCUUCAGCGCGGAGGACGUCCAUCAGGCGGUAGGCAAGAUCUCCGGGAUGGGCCACUGCCUCCACCAUCACCGCCUCUUCGUUGCCGCCGCCGCCGACAUGUGCGAGGGAUGCCUGUCUUCUUCAAAGAACGAGAUGAAUGAAGGAUGCAGAGGAGACAGGCUCCAUGGCGUGUUCCUGCUGUAAAGCUCUCGACCUCUCGUACAGGUACACGUUUCUUCUUCACGCGAGUUUGAGAACACACAUACUACCGCGAGCCGGAGAUCCAUCCACCCAGUUAUGGAUCCAUCAGGUACAAGCCACUAGCCGCCAGGCCACACCUCCGAGCUAGCCGAUGCUUAGUAUACGAGUGUUCUGCUGCAUCCGGUGCGACCUCAAAGAAUACCUUCGUCUAGCUGGCCAUUGAGCACCUUAGGGACGACGAGGUGCAGUGCCUGGGGUGUAAGCAGUUCAACUACACGAUGAAGUGAGUGAAGGGGUUAAGACGGUUGUGUUGUGCGUGCGCUGCUUGCUUGCUGUCAACUUGUUGGACAACUGUACACGUAUGUGUUUUUUCAAGCCCACUGAUUUCAGCCUCUCCGUCUCCUUCAAGCCGAUGAGAAGUUCAGGGAUAUUCCUGGGAGUGCCUAUUAUGUGGCUCCGGAGGUGCUGAAGCGGAGAUAUGGAGCCGAUAAUUGCAUAUCGAGUGCUGGAGUUAUACUCUACAUUCUGUUGUCUGGCAUUCCUCCUUUUUGGGCAGCAGGGUAGGAACCCUCCCUUGGUUUUAAUUACCUGAGAAUGAGGAAGGUCUAUUUGAUGUUGUUCUUCAAGAUCCUCCUGUGAAGCAUAAAUUUCAUUGUGUCCAAGGAGAUAUCUAAUGCUGAAAACAUGGGACUCGAAAUGUAUAGAGAGUCGGAGACACUGCUAAACUGUCAUUUAUGGGUGUCUACCAAAUUCACUAUCAACCACUGUUGUAGGACCGGCGAUAAUAUGCUUGGACUCACAAGUGCAUCUAAUGCUUCCAUAUGGAGGUUUUCAACAUCACAAAUUUCAUACUAAUGGAGUGGAGGUACCAAAAUAUCUAUUGAGGAGGGACAAAGAGAUGUGCUAUUGCCAAGACAGUUAUGACUCUAUUAAGGUAUUCAGGUAUGAUUCUCCAUGGUCAUGCUUCUCCUAUUCACCGGGAAGUUUAUUGAUGGGAGGGAAGCCACUUCUGCUUUGAUGAUUUCGUGGAAGUUCAGCUAGGUGAAUUUACAAUACAAGUCAGAUUAUUUGCGAGAGAAUUUCAUUCCCUAGAAUCAUUGUCAUUCUUGUUGCCUACAAGGUACUUGAAAAAAAUGCCCGAGACAUAUCUUAAGGAGUAUAAUUCAGCACUAAGGCUAUUAUUACAACGAUGGAAUCUUUGUUGUGGUAGUUAUGUCUCAAAAUGCGUCGAUCCCUAUCGGCUACUGAAGUAAACUUAUUUAUUUUUUCUGUGUCGAUUUCUAUUGGCUUACUGAUAGCUUAUUUAUUCUUUUCGAAUUUUAAUUCCUUGAUCUUUGCCUCUGCCCAUCUCCAUAUCACACAGAAGGUGCUCAGUGCAAUGCAUCAUGCAGUGAUUCCAUGAUAGGAAUUAGGAACUGCUCAUCAUUUGAAUGUUUCUACAAUUUUCCUGCUUGUUAGAACAUGUUUGAUGUACUUACACAUUAACAAAAAUGACUUGUAACAUUCAUGAAAAUAUUUGGGUUUGGUCAUCUACUUUUUUACUGUUUAUUUACUCAUGAA